This 811-nucleotide ribosomal RNA is filed under the name uncultured bacterium. RNAcentral describes it as "bacterial SSU rRNA". It matches the Rfam family "Bacterial small subunit ribosomal RNA", at positions 54 to 871 of the family's 1533-position model. The record is from RNAcentral.
CAUGCAAGUCGAGGGGUAUGGUUCUUCGGAACCAGAGACCGGCGCACGGGUGCGUAACGCGUAUGCAAUCUGCCUUUCACAGAGGGAUAGCCCAGAGAAAUUUGGAUAAAUACCUCAUAGUAUAGCGACAUCGCAUGAUGAUGCUAUUAAAGUCACAACGGUGAAAGAUGAGCAUGCGUCCCAUUAGCUAGUUGGUAAGGUAACGGCUUACCAAGGCAACGAUGGGUAGGGGUCCUGAGAGGGAGAUCCCCCACACUGGUACUGAGACACGGACCAGACUCCUACGGGAGGCAGCAGUGAGGAAUAUUGGUCAAUGGGCGCAAGCCUGAACCAGCCAUGCCGCGUGCAGGAUGACGGUCCUAUGGAUUGUAAACUGCUUUUGCACAGGAAGAAACACUGAUUCGUGAAUCAGCUUGACGGUACUGUGAGAAUAAGGAUCGGCUAACUCCGUGCCAGCAGCCGCGGUAAUACGGAGGAUCCAAGCGUUAUCCGGAAUCAUUGGGUUUAAAGGGUCCGUAGGCGGUCUGGUAAGUCAGUGGUGAAAGCCCAUCGCUCAACGGUGGAACGGCCAUUGAUACUGCUGGACUUGAAUUAUUAGGAAGUAACUAGAAUGUGUAGUGUAGCGGUGAAAUGCUUAGAGAUUACAUGGAAUACCAAUUGCGAAGGCAGGUUACUACUAAUGGAUUGACGCUGAUGGACGAAAGCGUGGGUAGCGAACAGGAUUAGAUACCCUGGUAGUCCACGCCGUAUACGAUGGAUACUAGCUGUUGGAAGCAAUUUCAGUGGCUAAGCGAAAGUGAUAAGUAUCCCA